RNAcentral lists this ribosomal RNA (433 nucleotides) under uncultured bacterium. RNAcentral's name for it is "partial 16S ribosomal RNA". It matches the Rfam family "Bacterial small subunit ribosomal RNA", at positions 29 to 507 of the family's 1533-position model. The record is from RNAcentral.
AACGAACGCUGGCGGCAUGCCUAACACAUGCAAGUCGAACGAAGGCUUCGGCCUUAGUGGCGCACGGGUGCGUAACGCGUGGGAAUCUGCCCUUUGCUUCGGAAUAACAGUUAGAAAUGACUGCUAAUACCGGAUGAUGUCGCAAGACCAAAGAUUUAUCGGCAAAGGAUGAGCCCGCGUAGGAUUAGCUAGUUGGUGGGGUAAAGGCCUACCAAGGCGACGAUCCUUAGCUGGUCUGAGAGGAUGAUCAGCCACACUGGGACUGAGACACGGCUCAGACUCCUACGGGAGGCAGCAGUGGGGAAUAUUGGACAAUGGGCGAAAGCCUGAUCCAGCAAUGCCGCGUGAGUGAUGAAGGCCUUAGGGUUGUAAAGCUCUUUUACCCGGGAUGAUAAUGACAGUACCGGGAGAAUAAGCGCCGGCUAACUCCGUG